AGUGAACGCUGGCGGUAGGCCUAACACAUGCAAGUCGAACGGCAGCACAGUAAGAGCUUGCUCUUACGGGUGGCGAGUGGCGGACGGGUGAGGAAUACAUCGGAAUCUACUUUUUCGUGGGGGAUAACGUAGGGAAACUUACGCUAAUACCGCAUACGACCUACGGGUGAAAGCAGGGGAUCUUCGGACCUUGCGCGAUUGAAUGAGCCGAUGUCGGAUUAGCUAGUUGGCGGGGUAAAGGCCCACCAAGGCGACGAUCCGUAGCUGGUCUGAGAGGAUGAUCAGCCACACUUGAACUGAGACACGGUCCAGACCCCUACGGGAGGCAGCAGUGGGGAAUAUUGGACAAUGGGCGCAAGCCUGAUCCAGCCAUACCGCGUGGGUGAAGAAGGCCUUCGGGUUGUAAAGCCCUUUUGUUGGGAAAGAAAAGCAGCAGGUUAAUACCCCGCUGUUCUGACGGUACCCAAAGAAUAAGCACCGGCUAACUUCGU
Molecule: ribosomal RNA, 491 nt
Filed under: uncultured bacterium
Lineage: Bacteria
Description: partial 16S ribosomal RNA
Rfam family: Bacterial small subunit ribosomal RNA
Source: RNAcentral